RNAcentral lists this ribosomal RNA (510 nucleotides) under uncultured bacterium. Its description in RNAcentral is "partial 16S ribosomal RNA". It matches the Rfam family "Bacterial small subunit ribosomal RNA", at positions 28 to 507 of the family's 1533-position model. The record is from RNAcentral.
GACGAACGCUGGCGGCGUGCUUAACACAUGCAAGUCGAACGAAGAGCGAUGGAAGCUUGCUUCUAUCAAUCUUAGUGGCGAACGGGUGAGUAACGCGUAAUCAACCUGCCCUUCAGAGGGGGACAACAGUUGGAAACGACUGCUAAUACCGCAUACGAUCUAAUCUCGGCAUCGAGGAUAGAUGAAAGGUGGCCUCUACAUGUAAGCUAUCACUGAAGGAGGGGAUUGCGUCUGAUUAGCUAGCUGGAGGGGUAACGGCCCACCAAGGCGAUGAUCAGUAGCCGGUCUGAGAGGAUGAACGGCCACAUUGGGACUGAGACACGGCCCAGACUCCUACGGGAGGCAGCAGUGGGGAAUCUUCCGCAAUGGACGAAAGUCUGACGGAGCAACGCCGCGUGAGUGAUGACGGCCUUCGGGUUGUAAAGCUCUGUUAAUCGGGACGAAAGGCCUUCUUGCGAACAGUUAGAAGGAUUGACGGUACCGGAAUAGAAAGCCACGGCUAACUACGUG